This 225-nucleotide ribosomal RNA is filed under the name Triticum aestivum (bread wheat). RNAcentral describes it as "partial small subunit ribosomal RNA". Lineage: Eukaryota; Viridiplantae; Streptophyta; Magnoliopsida; Poales; Poaceae. The record is from RNAcentral.
AUGUGUGUACCAAAGGAAAGGGGUGGUAUGGGUUUCCGGGACACUCAUAGUUUUAACCAGGCCAUGUUAGCCAAACAAUGCUGGAGACUCAUUGAGAAUUAUGACUCACUUUGUGCAAAAGUUUUAAGGGCCAGGUAUUAUCCUUCUGGGGAUAUUUUGAACUGUGAAUUGAAGAAGGGCUCAUCCUUUGUGUGGCAAAGUAUUUGGGCAGGAAUACAAACGUUC